Oncorhynchus mykiss (rainbow trout) is the source of this 2789-nucleotide non-coding RNA. NCBI's taxonomy places the organism in Eukaryota, Metazoa, Chordata, Actinopteri, Salmoniformes, Salmonidae. The record is from RefSeq and is a predicted model, not a curated record.
CAUCCUCCCUGGCCAACAGCUUGGUGUAGAAUUGUUUAGGGCAAAGUAGUGGGAUGGGGUGGUGGAUUUUGGGGAUAGUGUAUAGGUAAGGUGCAGGGCUAGUUGGUGGUGUAAUUUAAAAAACAUUUUUUUUACCAGAAUGUGCAAGCCGCAAUCCGACUUGCGAAAAGCAGCAUUAAACAGCACAGCGUCUAGUCUUCCGGAAAUUCACACGAAGAAGAACAUUGGCUAAACUCCAUCGAAGAAGAGUGGGUGUCUCGCUUUCUCUACGGUCUCUGGCUUUACUACCCUGCGACUCUUUCCUAUCGAGACAACAUAGAAAACAAGCCAUAUAGCUAGCUGUUUAUCUUUUGAUAAAGAUGUCAACCACGACCGGCGGCGGAGAGUUUGGCAACCCCCUGCGGAAAUUUAAGCUCGUAUUCUUAGGCGAGCAAAGUGUGGGGAAGACAUCACUUAUCACCAGGUUUAUGUAUGACAGCUUUGACAAUACCUAUCAGGCUACAAUUGGCAUAGACUUUUUAUCGAAAACGAUGUACCUGGAAGAUCGUACGAUUCGUCUCCAGCUGUGGGAUACGGCCGGGCAGGAGCGGUUCCGCAGCCUCAUCCCCAGCUACAUCAGAGACUCAGCCGCUGCUGUGGUGGUUUAUGACAUAGCAAAUCUCAAUUCCUUCCAGCAAACCUCAAAGUGGAUUGAUGACGUCAGAACAGAGAGAGGAAGUGAUGUUAUUAUCAUGCUUGUGGGAAACAAAACAGACUUGGCUGAUAAAAGACAAGUUUCUGUUGAGGCUGCAGAGAGGAAAGCUCGUGAACUCAAUGUGAUGUACAUAGAGACCAGUGCCAAGGCUGGCUAUAACGUCAAACAGACAGAUCACCACUGAAGAGGGCGAGCAGAGAGCUAAGGAACUGAAUGUCAUGUUCAUUGAAACCAGUGCAAAGACUGGCUACAAUGUCAAACAGCUGUUUCGCCGUGUUGCUGCAGCCCUACCUGGGAUGGAUAGCACACCAGAGAAGAGCAAAGAGGACAUGAUCGAUAUCAAACUGGAGAAGCCACCAGAGAUGGCAGUGACGGAGAGCAGCUGCUCCUGCUAGUAAACACCCCCCCACCUGACCUUCCUCCUCUCCACCAACAGCUUGUCUCUCAGUGGCCACUCUCCCCACCCAUGGCUCACUGCCAUCGACCUGAGAACCUCGAACCCCCCCCCCCCCCUUCGACUCAGUGACUUUUCAGAGUAACCGUGUGGAUGUGCUAUUACUCUGUAUUUAACAGAUAUUAAACUAUAUUAAAGGUUAAAAGUCAAACACAGAAUAGGUUGAAAGCUGAAUAUGUUCAGCUUUUCAUCCAACUGCAUGGCAUUAUAUAGGAUUGCAGACUGACAUAGCUAAUUGCUCUUGGGUUAUUGCGUUGUUGUGAAGUGAUUAUUGUUUGAGAUUAUUUAAGUGACUAUUAAAGGGAUACGGUCUCAGUCCCUUGGAUCUUUGCUUUUAUUUCCAAUGACGAGUCUGGAGUGGGUCAACUAGAGUAUUCUAGCUCCGUGAUAAACAAAGUGAUUCACAAGGAUUUGAUAUAUUUUGUUCUAAAAAGAUUCCCCUCUAAACUAUGAAUAUUAUUUCCUCUCAUUGUUGGCUCAAAUCAAAGCUAUUAAUUUAGGCCUAAUGGUUUAUGGGACCAUGAAUAAGGGACAUUAUCAGGACAUUUUCAAGGCAUGAACAGCCAAAGAACUUCAUUUAGGAUUACUGUAGUAAUCGACUGAUGAUUUCAAUGGCAACUUUUUUUGUUAUUUUGGCAGGUCUCCCAAAAAGGAUGCUGCAGAAAGGAUGUAUAGCCAAUCAUUAAGAAAACAAGGAUUUGCAUUUUUAGAAAAGGGACAUGAUCCCAAAUUCAUUGUAGUGGAAAAUUCUAACCUAAAUCUAUUGAUAUACACUUUGAAACGAUAAAUCUGUCACAGCGACUUACAUCAAAUAGCUGCACACAUGCAAACACAUCUUGUGUCUGAGGAGAAGAGGUGUUUUAAAGUUCAUAUGUGAGCCUAUGGAGUGAGCAGGUGUCAAAGCUUUUUACACUCUAAAUGGAAACAUGCAUUGGGCCCAUACGAUGUCUGCCUACUCACCCUCCAAUUGAUGUAUAUUGUUGUCUUGUUUUCGUCACACUAUUGCAGGAACGGCGUGCUCAUCAUGCAGGUUUCAUAGAUGGUUAAGAAAAAACGAUGCCUUGCUUGUUUGUUCACCAACGUUGUGCACUGAAUCAAGACCCAACAUUGUAAAGAUGGACAGUAGUUCUGUAGAGCAGAUACAGCUAACGCUUCCUAACACCAUUGCUGUGAAAAUAAGUGCAGUGAAGUUCAUCUUUAGCGCUAUUGCCAGUUUACGACCGUUGGUUUUGUGUUUAUUUAUUUUGAAACACAAGCAACCGUAAAAUUGCCUUGUACACUUAACCAAAAUGAGUUGCUCCACCCCUGUCCUUUAACACGUUCUCUCUCACACACACACACACCAACUAAACACAGCCAUAAAUGUCCCACCACACACCAAUGCUUUCGCUGUUACAUUUUUACAAAAAAUGUAGAUGAGUAUUUAAUUACGUCGAACCACCGUCUUUACCUUAACAGCUGUUCUAUUAUCCCUCACUGACUGAGUACUCAACUGAACUGUGUGCUAUUCUGAAGUGUCUGUCCAUUUGAAAUAUGUCGUGUUUAGCAACGUUUGUGUGAAUAAUGUAAUAUCUGCUGUAUAAAAAAGGAGAAUUAAAGAACACCGAAAGGUAUCACAUGAAAUAAAGAGAUUUCACCAAA